This 1429-nucleotide long non-coding RNA is filed under the name Triticum aestivum (bread wheat). RNAcentral describes it as "long non-coding RNA (TAES_LNC015886)". The record is from RNAcentral. Lineage: Eukaryota; Viridiplantae; Streptophyta; Magnoliopsida; Poales; Poaceae.
ACAAAUAGAAGCGUUGCUCAUAUCCUCUUGAAUCAGGUGUGCAGUAUGAUGGAGUUUACAGAAUUAAGAACUGUUAGAUAAAGAUUGGUGUUCAGGUAAUUUUACUUCCUGUACAGAGGUUCCACAUGCUGCUCUCUACUUUGUGCCACUGAAUGAAAGAUCAAUGUAUAUUCUUUUGAUUUCUGUCACAGGGUACGUAUAAGGUCUUGAUGUUAAACUAAUGUAAUUUUUAUUGCUUACUAAAGCCUCCUAAGUCCCAACUCAACCACUUGAAGUUAAACUGAAGUAUUAAUCAAUCUUGUUUGCUUUCUUGUACGUGUAUGCCUACUUACCUUGCCCUAUAUGGCGAUCGAUGGCCAACCAUAGAACGGUUCUGAUUUUUUUAUUUUGUCAAGUUUAGUUCAUAUUUUUUUUAUCCAUGUGGUGUUUAAACGGUGACUAUGUAGAGUUCAUAGAAAUUGUGAGGCAUAGAAUUGAUUCAAUCUUCAUUUUUUUUCCAAUUUGGUUCAGAGCUAUUACCUGCUACACCUACAGAUGUGAAAAGCUUACACUUUGCAAAUCCAAAAUUAAGCAGCAUAAUUUCUCAUAGAUUAUAUAUAAAUUGAGUGACAACUUCUGGGACAUGUGCUUCUUUUGACCUAUUAUCUUGCUUUUGCAUGAUUUAUUGGAGGUCCAUAAGGCAGUUCUAUCUCUCUCGCUAAUACAAUAAGUUUCUCUUUAACAAAAAAACAAACACAGGGCAGGAGCAUAGAUGGUGCACAGGAGAGCUGCCUUGUCAUUGAUAGAGGAAGUGUGAGAGCAUGCUAAUUGUGCAGGGAAGAGAAAUAAAAUGAAAACGAAAAUGAGAAACAAAAGAGAAGAAUGUUAUGAUCUCAUGAUAAUGUCGGCCACCAGCCAGCGCCCACAAGAGUAUACCUAUAGGCGGUCCAAAGGUACUAGCAUGCUUGCCAAUGAAUGUCACAUGCUCUACCUAAUAUGUAAUGCUUGGUUCUUUAUUUAUUUAUUUUUCUUGUAGUUCAUGCUUCUUUUCAAUUAUGCAAUUUAGAAAGAAAAAAAGCAUGUUAUUAUGUCAUUAUACCAUGCCAGUAUAUGUCAUGGAGGCCGGUAAAGUGAUUAUUAGUUAAAAAGUAUAGGUCAAGCUUGAUAUGUUCUAAUCUGUAGUUACUUAACCUUUGCUUCAAAGUAGUCAUGCAUUAUGUGAUUAUCAAGCUUCAAUUGACUGAUGGUUUCAUUGAUUAAUUCCAGGUUAUCUAGGUUGGUAAAAAGCAAGGCCGCCUCAUAGUUGAGGAAGAUGAUGUGCAACCAAUGAAGAAGAUAUAUUAGGAUGGAACUCGAGGCAUUUUGUGGAUUAGUAUCUAUAGUUUUUUGAUGCCUAUAAAGCAGAGGUAUGUGUGACAAAACAGAAGUAUCCAUGAAUUACUACUUUAUA